Molecule: ribosomal RNA, 253 nt
Filed under: uncultured bacterium
Lineage: Bacteria
Description: partial 16S ribosomal RNA
Rfam family: Bacterial small subunit ribosomal RNA
Source: RNAcentral
UACGUAGGGUGCAAGCGUUAAUCGGAAUUAUUGGGCGUAAAGGGUGCGUAGGCGGUUUGUUAAGACGGAUGUGAAAUCCCUGGGCUCAACCUGGGAACUGCAUACGUGACCGGCAGACUAGAGUAUGGCAGAGGGAGGUGGAAUUCCACGUGUAGCAGUGAAAUGCGUAGAGAUGUGGAGGAACACCGAUGGCGAAGGCAGCCCCCUGGGCUAACACUGACGCUCAUGCACGAAAGCGUGGGGAGCAAACAGG